This 468-nucleotide ribosomal RNA is filed under the name uncultured bacterium. RNAcentral describes it as "partial 16S ribosomal RNA". It matches the Rfam family "Bacterial small subunit ribosomal RNA", at positions 28 to 507 of the family's 1533-position model. The record is from RNAcentral.
GACGAACGCUGGCGGCGUGCUUAACACAUGCAAGUCGAACGGGAAGGCCCUGCUUUUGUGGGGUGCUCGAGUGGCGAACGGGUGAGUAACACGUGAGUAACCUGCCCUUGACUUUGGGAUAAUUUCAGGAAACUGGGGCUAAUACCGGAUAGGAGCUCCUGCUGCAUGGUGGGGGUUGGAAAGUUUCGGCGGUUGGGGAUGGACUCGCGGCUUAUCAGCUUGUUGGUGGGGUAGUGGCUUACCAAGGCUUUGACGGGUAGCCGGCCUGGGAGGGUGACCGGCCACAUUGGGACUGAGAUACGGCCCAGACUCCUACGGGAGGCAGCAGUGGGGAAUAUUGCACAAUGGGCGGAAGCCUGAUGCAGCAACGCCGCGUGCGGGAUGACGGCCUUCGGGUUGUAAACCGCUUUCGCCUGUGACGAAGCGUGAGUGACGGUAAUGGGUAAAGAAGCACCGGCUAACUACGUG